Molecule: long non-coding RNA, 232 nt
Organism: Panicum virgatum (switchgrass)
Lineage: Eukaryota; Viridiplantae; Streptophyta; Magnoliopsida; Poales; Poaceae
Exons: 3
Source: RefSeq, a predicted model, not a curated record
AUGCGCCGCAGACUCCACAGAGUGUGAAGAGCACAGCUAAUUACAAGGACAAGUCUGAAAAUCCUGUUGUGAAGCCUUCUAAGAGUGCUCUGGUGCCACAGAAGACAUCCACUAGGAAAAGGUCCCGUUCAACAAGCAAAGGAAACGUGGCCAACAAACUCCUCAUUGAUGAUGAGGCCGAGGAAGACGACGGUGGCAGUAGCGGGGGUGCGGCCUCUGCUGAUCAGCAAAG